AUAUGGUGCACAUAUAGAAACUUACCUUGCAAGUUAAGAUACAUGUCUUGCAAAGUUAACAUAUUUUGGAGGUCUUAUAGGACAUCGCCAUGUAGUUCCUACUUAAGAAUAUAUAUAUCGAGGCAAUAGUGAAGCCUUUUUAACUCUUAUCGAUGCCUUUUUAGUCCUUACUCUUCUUUCAAGACUUUCUAGUCUUCUUGUUUUUGAUAAUUGCCAUUCUACUUCAAUAUUAUAUCAUCUUUAAGUGACUUUCUAAUUCUUUUUAAUGACACAAGAGUAUAUUGAGGAUAUUUUUCUUUGAAAUUCAUAUCUUAGAUAAUUUGAUAAGAAUA
This 332-nucleotide long non-coding RNA is filed under the name Physcomitrium patens. RNAcentral's name for it is "long non-coding RNA (PPAT_LNC005388)". Lineage: Eukaryota; Viridiplantae; Streptophyta; Bryopsida; Funariales; Funariaceae. The record is from RNAcentral.